AAAGGUUUUCUGGAAAGUGUAAAUAGCAAGUGGGACAAAAGUUUAUUUAAUUUUUUUUUAUUAGUGUUUGUGUUCAAAAUUUAUUGGAUGUUUGGAGAGGACAUACAGUGAAUUGCUGGUAUCUAGUUUAAGCCAUGCGUGCCAAGGACCAGAAAAUACUUGUGUAAAUGGAAGAUACAACUGCCUGCAAAUACAAAAUCCAGUGGCCAAAGUUGGGAGAUCUCUCAGUUGGAAGCCCGAUUUAUCUUUGGUUGAUGGAAGGAAAUGAAAAGGAAGGAACCUGGAAGGCAGAGGAUGAACUAAAGCAGAGGAUGAACUAAAGCAAACACCAGCGCCUCAGCGGCGUGGUUGGUAUGGUAUUAGCGUUCCACCUCGGUGGUCGCGGGUUUGAUUUUCGGCCAUUCCAUUGAGGAGUGAGAGAGGUGCAUUUCUGGUGAAAGAAGUUCACUCUCGACGUGGUUCGGAAGUCACGUAAAGCCGUUGGUCCCGUUGCUGAAUAACCACUGGUCCCAUGCAACGUAAAAGCACCAUACAACAACAACAUAAAGCAAACACCAAACACUACAAUUGGGAUGAAGACUGUUGAACUUAUUGUUUAUUAGUUAAAGAAUGAAGUUAGUCGCCUGCCUGAAAAGAAAUUAUAUAUAACAGAAGCAGUGGUUACGUAAAAUUAGGACUUCAUUAACUACAGUCAGAUCCUUUAUUCUGUUACAAGUUGUCUAGAGGAUCUGUGACUUCGUGAACUGGAAACAGCAGAGGAUAAAAGGAUUUUGAGUGCCGUGGUUGUUCCUAAUUUUGGAAGUUCUUGUAUAUGACACUAUAUACAUUGAGGCUUAAAGUACAUACCUACAGCUCUAUUUAAUUUGCAGAUAACUAUUCUUCAACCUAUUAUGUAACUCAGUUUGUCCCUGCUUGGCCUACUUGUAGUUAGUUACCUUUGCUGUAAGGAAGGUUGUGGUUUAUGUUAGUCUCUCGUUAAAUUGUCUUCCAGUACACAAUGUCAAGUGUGUUGCUAAGAUCGGAUAGACCUGAAGUUUUAAUGAACUGCUUCUUAAAUUACUAUUCAGUGCACAUUACAUUUGCCAUCCUUUCUCACUCUUAUCGACCUGAUAUGUUUGCAGCUUCGUGUCUAUGUAUUUUGUUCAUUAACCUAUAAAUGGAGCAAUGAGGAGAUAUUAGGAUUUAUGGUGAAUAAUUGCCAGUAUCUGAUCAACAGUAACUGACUGACAGAUGCUGAUUUUGCCAGUAGUAAGGAAUCCGAUAGACUUGAGAGGUGCAGGAAAGCCAACAGACCCCUUACCUCUGAAGAGAAUCUAAGGGGCCCUGCUUUCGAGUACGUAUUACCUGCUCCCCCUGCAAAACGCACUGAAUUUACCGGUAGUGACGAAUCCGAGUGGAAUAUGAAGGAAGUAGGCUUCCUGUCCACCCUCAACUCUAGUGAGGCUUAAGUGCUAACUUAAAGGGUUCCACUUACCGUAUAAUACGGGUACGAAGAACGCAAGUAAUUAAAAUAAAUUUUAAAAUCCCACAACCGAAUAAAUUUCUGAUUAAUUAUAAUUAAGGUAAACGGAAACCACUUCAGGACAUCGAUAUUUUAUUAAGCAGCAGCUUUAAGUCUACAUAACUUUUUAAAUCUUUUA
Long non-coding RNA from Macrobrachium nipponense, 1640 nucleotides. RefSeq lists it as uncharacterized. Lineage: Eukaryota; Metazoa; Arthropoda; Malacostraca; Decapoda; Palaemonidae. The transcript is spliced from 3 exons. The record is from RefSeq and is a predicted model, not a curated record.